AGGGCGCACGGUGGAUGCCUUGACACUAGGAGUCGAUGAAGGACGGGACUAACGCCGAUAUGCUUCGGGGAGCUGUAAGUAAGCUUUGAUCCGAAGAUUUCCGAAUGGGGAAACCCACCAUACGUAAUGGUAUGGUAUCCUUAUCUGAAUACAUAGGGUAAGGAAGACAGACCCAGGGAACUGAAACAUCUAAGUACCUGGAGGAAGAGAAAGCAAAUGCGAUUUCCUGAGUAGCGGCGAGCGAAACGGAACAUAGCCCAAACCAAGAGGCUUGCCUCUUGGGGUUGUAGGACAUUCUAUACGGAGUUACAAAGGAACGAGGUAGACGAAGCGACCUGGAAAGGUCCGUCGUAGAGGGUAACAACCCCGUAGUCGAAACUUCGUUCUCUCUUGAAUGUAUCCUGAGUACGGCGGAACACGUGAAAUUCCGUCGGAAUCUGGGAGGACCAUCUCCCAAGGCUAAAUACUCCCUAGUGAUCGAUAGUGAACCAGUACCGUGAGGGAAAGGUGAAAAGCACCCCGGAAGGGGAGUGAAAGAGAUCCUGAAACCGUGUGCCUACAAAUAGUCAGAGCCCGUUAAUGGGUGAUGGCGUGCCUUUUGUAGAAUGAACCGGCGAGUUACGAUCCCGUGCGAGGUUAAGCUGAAGAGGCGGAGCCGCAGCGAAAGCGAGUCUGAAUAGGGCGUUUAGUACGUGGUCGUAGACCCGAAACCAGGUGAUCUACCCAUGUCCAGGGUGAAGUUCAGGUAACACUGAAUGGAGGCCCGAACCCACGCACGUUGAAAAGUGCGGGGAUGAGGUGUGGGUAGCGGAGAAAUUCCAAUCGAACCUGGAGAUAGCUGGUUCUCCCCGAAAUAGCUUUAGGGCUAGCCUUAAGUGUAAGAGUCUUGGAGGUAGAGCACUGAUUGGACUAGGGGUCCUCAUCGGAUUACCGAAUUCAGUCAAACUCCGAAUGCCAAUGACUUAUCCUUAGGAGUCAGACUGCGAGUGAUAAGAUCCGUAGUCAAAAGGGAAACAGCCCAGACCGCCAGCUAAGGUCCCAAAGUGUGUAUUAAGUGGAAAAGGAUGUGGAGUUGCUUAGACAACUAGGAUGUUGGCUUAGAAGCAGCCACCAUUUAAAGAGUGCGUAAUAGCUCACUAGUCGAGUGACUCUGCGCCGAAAAUGUACCGGGGCUAAAUACACCACCGAAGCUGCGGAUUGAUACCAAUGGUAUCAGUGGUAGGGGAGCGUUCUAAGGACAGUGAAGUCAGACCGGAAGGACUGGUGGAGCGCUUAGAAGUGAGAAUGCCGGUAUGAGUAGCGAAAGACGGGUGAGAAUCCCGUCCACCGAAUGCCUAAGGUUUCCUGAGGAAGGCUCGUCCGCUCAGGGUUAGUCAGGACCUAAGCCGAGGCCGACAGGCGUAGGCGAUGGACAACAGGUUGAUAUUCCUGUACCACCUCUUUAUCGUUUGAGCAAUGGAGGGACGCAGAAGGAUAGAAGAAGCGUGCGAUUGGUUGUGCACGUCCAAGCAGUUAGGCUGAUAAGUAGGCAAAUCCGCUUAUCGUGAAGGCUGAGCUGUGAUGGGGAAGCUCCUUAUGGAGCGAAGUCUUUGAUUCCCCGCUGCCAAGAAAAGCUUCUAGCGAGAUAAAAGGUGCCUGUACCGCAAACCGACACAGGUAGGCGAGGAGAGAAUCCUAAGGUGUGCGAGAGAACUCUGGUUAAGGAACUCGGCAAAAUGACCCCGUAACUUCGGGAGAAGGGGUGCUUUCUUAACGGAAAGCCGCAGUGAAUAGGCCCAAGCGACUGUUUAGCAAAAACACAGCUCUCUGCGAAGCCGUAAGGCGAAGUAUAGGGGGUGACACCUGCCCGGUGCUGGAAGGUUAAGGAGAGGGGUUAGCGUAAGCGAAGCUCUGAACUGAAGCCCCAGUAAACGGCGGCCGUAACUAUAACGGUCCUAAGGUAGCGAAAUUCCUUGUCGGGUAAGUUCCGACCCGCACGAAAGGUGUAACGAUUUGGGCACUGUCUCAACCAGAGACUCGGUGAAAUUAUAGUACCUGUGAAGAUGCAGGUUACCCGCGACAGGACGGAAAGACCCCGUGGAGCUUUACUGUAGCCUGAUAUUGAAUUUUGGUACAGUUUGUACAGGAUAGGCGGGAGCCAUUGAAACCGGAGCGCUAGCUUCGGUGGAGGCGCUGGUGGGAUACCGCCCUGACUGUAUUGAAAUUCUAACCUACGGGUCUUAUCGACCCGGGAGACAGUGUCAGGUGGGCAGUUUGACUGGGGCGGUCGCCUCCUAAAGUGUAACGGAGGCGCCCAAAGGUUCCCUCAGAAUGGUUGGAAAUCAUUCGUAGAGUGCAAAGGCAUAAGGGAGCUUGACUGCGAGACCUACAAGUCGAGCAGGGACGAAAGUCGGGCUUAGUGAUCCGGUGGUUCCGCAUGGAAGGGCCAUCGCUCAACGGAUAAAAGCUACCCCGGGGAUAACAGGCUUAUCUCCCCCAAGAGUCCACAUCGACGGGGAGGUUUGGCACCUCGAUGUCGGCUCAUCGCAUCCUGGGGCUGUAGUCGGUCCCAAGGGUUGGGCUGUUCGCCCAUUAAAGCGGUACGCGAGCUGGGUUCAGAACGUCGUGAGACAGUUCGGUCCCUAUCCGUCGUGGGCGUAGGAAAUUUGAGAGGAGCUGUCCUUAGUACGAGAGGACCGGGAUGGACGCACCGCUGGUGUACCAGUUGUUCUGCCAAGGGCAUAGCUGGGUAGCUAUGUGCGGAAGGGAUAAGUGCUGAAAGCAUCUAAGCAUGAAGCCCCCCUCAAGAUGAGAUUUCCCAUAGCGUAAGCUAGU
RNAcentral lists this ribosomal RNA (2814 nucleotides) under Escherichia coli. RNAcentral's name for it is "bacterial LSU rRNA". It matches the Rfam family "Bacterial large subunit ribosomal RNA". The record is from RNAcentral. Lineage: Bacteria; Pseudomonadati; Pseudomonadota; Gammaproteobacteria; Enterobacterales; Enterobacteriaceae.